Molecule: ribosomal RNA, 253 nt
Filed under: uncultured bacterium
Lineage: Bacteria
Description: partial 16S ribosomal RNA
Rfam family: Bacterial small subunit ribosomal RNA
Source: RNAcentral
UACGUAGGCAGCAAGCGUUGUUCGGAAUUACUGGGCGUAAAGAGUGUGUAGGCGGUGCUCUAAGUCUGUUGUGAAAUCUCCCGGCUUAACCGGGAGGGUGCGGCGGAAACUGGAGUGCUUGAGGGUGGGAGAGGUAAGCGGAAUUCCUGGUGUAGCGGUGAAAUGCGUAGAUAUCAGGAGGAACACCUGUGGUGUAGACAGCUUACUGGACCACUUCUGACGCUGAGACACGAAAGCGUGGGGAGCGAACAGG